RNAcentral lists this ribosomal RNA (492 nucleotides) under uncultured bacterium. RNAcentral describes it as "partial 16S ribosomal RNA". It matches the Rfam family "Bacterial small subunit ribosomal RNA", at positions 29 to 507 of the family's 1533-position model. The record is from RNAcentral.
AGUGAACGCUGGCGGUAGGCCUAACACAUGCAAGUCGAACGGCAGCACAGUAAGAGCUUGCUCUUACGGGUGGCGAGUGGCGGAUGGGUGAGGAAUACAUCGGAAUCUACUUUUUCGUGGGGGAUAACGUAGGGAAACUUACGCUAAUACCGCAUACGACCUACGGGUGAAAGCAGGGGAUCUUCGGACCUUGCGUGAUUGAAUGAGCCGAUGUCGGAUUAGCUAGUUGGCGGGGUAAAGGCCCACCAAGGCGACGAUCCGUAGCUGGUCUGAGAGGAUGAUCAGCCACACUGGAACUGAGACACGCUCCAGACUCAUACGGGAGGCAGCAGAGGGGAAUAUUGGACAAUGGGCGCAAGCCUGAUCCAGCCAUACCGCGUGGGUGAAGAAGGACUUCGGGUUGUAAAGCCCUUUUGUUGGGAAAGAAAAGCAGCCGAUUAAUACCCCGCUGUUCUGACGGUACCCAAAGAAUAAGCACCGGCUAACUUCGUG